This 1422-nucleotide long non-coding RNA is filed under the name Stegodyphus dumicola. RNAcentral describes it as "uncharacterized LOC118202263, transcript variant X1". The record is from RNAcentral. Lineage: Eukaryota; Metazoa; Arthropoda; Arachnida; Araneae; Eresidae.
AAAAUAUGUUGCCAAAUUUUAAUCGUAUUAUUAUUACAAGGUCAUAUUCGAACUUUGAAGAAAGCACGUUAUAGCAUGUGAUGUCAUUGUAUGUCGAAAAUUUUUCAUUGUCAGCAUUUUAAAUAAAUGGUUGCUAUCGGCAACGUUUUUGUUUCAGGUUAGUAUAAAGGACGUGAUAUGCUAAUGCCACGUUGAUUCUUUUAUUGUUAUUGAGUAAAUUCUGUUAUAUUACAUUAAAAUUAAAUCAUGACGUCAUACGUUUUAACCUGAGGUGUCAAAGUUUUUGUUUCUUGGGUUGGCAAUGAAAGAUUAUUUAGGACCUGGUUGUUGCUUGGAAAGAAUGAACUCAUUUCAUUCAUAUUGGAAAUGUUUUUAUAUAUUUACUUUCCAGAGCUGCAGAGAACUUUUAAAUUUUGCUUUGUCAGCAGCCCGCUAGUUCUGUCUUAAAAUUUGAUCGAUGAAUUGAGAACAUUUGGAGAUGCAAAGUUUUCAUUAUGACCUCAAGCUCAAAUAUUGCUAGUAUAAAUUCAUUUCUGUAAGAUAAUUAAAAAUACGGAAUAAUUGAUUUUAUGAAUUUUGUUGAUCUUAGUUUCAGUCAACUUGUAACAUAACUUUCCAUCUCGAAAUCUAUACCUAAUUUAUAUCUUAAUCGCAAGCAAAUAAUUAAAUGUAUUUUGGAAAAAUAACUGAGUAAAUUCGGAAUGCAUUCAUUUAACAGGGUAACUGGAUGAAUGGUACAAGUUGUGACAGCCGAGAACGAAGCAACGUGUGUUUUAGAAUAUUCGGAAGGUCCUUCGGUAUUCUUUAUUUCGGCACUUGCGUACUGGCACGUUGACUUCCAAGGGGCUUCGUAAAUUUAGGUCGUUUGAAAACUUUCUACUAUUACAUUGCUGAUUGAAGAACUUUUAUCUUUGCACGAAACACUUGAUUUCUGAAACGGUUCCACGUAACCUGUGCCGGGAAAAUGAAGCAUAAGAAUUGGAUUCAAGAUUCAUUACGAUGUAUACCUUCCCAAUGUUAGUACGUCUCUUAACCAUGUCCGACGAAACUGCUAUUUCUGGGAAUUCUAUUCGCUUUUUUCUUUUUAUUGAGAGUGUGCUUUCUUUUUAUUGAGAGUGUGCUUUUCUUUUUAUUGAGAGUGUGCUUUUCUUAUGGAUUAAGUGUGCUCGAUGCAUCGUGCUGUGAUAUGAAUAGUGAAUUGUGUAGACUCUUUUAAGGAUAUUGGACUCUUCAUGUCAAGUUCUUCGGGUCAUGUGUUCUCCGGGGUAAGUGAGAUAUCUUGUUUGCAAAUAGAGUUAGUUUACCAAUUAUAAAUCCUUUUGUAAAUUAAUAAUAUAAAAAUUGAAAUUUCUGGCAUUGAUAAUGUUAAUAAUUGCGACUUUCAAAACCCAAUAAAACGGACGAGUGAAUUAACCUUACUAA